ACGCACGCUGGCGGCGUGCUUCACCCCUGCAAGUCGCACGGUGAACCUCUUCGGAGGGGAUCAGUGGCGAACGGGUGAGUAACACGUGGGCAACCUGCCCCCGGCUCUGGGAUAACUCCAAGAAAUUGGGGCUAAUACCGGAUGUUCACCGCUUCCCGCAUGGGUGGUGGUGCAAAGGGUUUCCGGCUGGGGAUGGGCCCGCGGCCUAUCAGCUUGUUGGUGGGGUAGUGGCCUACCAAGGCGACGACGGGUAGCCGGCCUGAGAGGGUGACCGGCCACACUGGGACUGAGACACGGCCCAGACUCCAACGGGAGGCAGCAGUGGGGAAUAUUGCGCAAUGGGCGGAAGCCUGACGCAGCGACGCCGCGUGGGGGAUGACGGCCUUCGGGUUGUAAACCUCUUUCAGCAGGGACGAAGCGCAAGUGACGGUACCUGCAGAAGAAGCACCGGCCAACUACGUG
This 462-nucleotide ribosomal RNA is filed under the name uncultured bacterium. Its description in RNAcentral is "partial 16S ribosomal RNA". It matches the Rfam family "Bacterial small subunit ribosomal RNA", at positions 29 to 507 of the family's 1533-position model. The record is from RNAcentral.